Molecule: long non-coding RNA, 2515 nt
Organism: Spinacia oleracea (spinach)
Lineage: Eukaryota; Viridiplantae; Streptophyta; Magnoliopsida; Caryophyllales; Amaranthaceae
Exons: 2
Source: RefSeq, a predicted model, not a curated record
UCUUCAUUUACAGCGGGAAAUUACCGGCCGAAAAAAUUGACAGUCGAAAAUUAACGACCGAAAAAAUUAUGUACCGACCGUAUAGCAGUAGGUACUUCUUUUUUCAACUUUUAGAAUACGACUGAUCCUCCUAGUAUAAAAAAGAAAACCCUACAUUCUCUUCUUCUCUCCGCCUCCCUACAUUCUUUCUUCUCUUGUUCUCUCCGCCUCCCACUCCAUCCUCUCACAUCACAUUCUUUCUUCUCUUGUUCUCUCCGCCUCCCACUAUUUUCUCUCACCUCAUCUUCCUCUCGUUCUUUGACCUCUUUCACUUUCUCAUCUCCACUUAAUCUCAACUCGUGUUUUUCUUCUUGAAUUUGAUAACCAAAGAUCAAAUUCUAGAAAGAUUCAAAUAAAGAAUUGUUGUGGCAAAUUAGUCGGGCGAAGAUGAAAGGUGAAAAUCUGAAGGAAUCGAGCAAAAAUUUGAUAUGAGGAACUCAAGCAGUGAAGCAGCACCGAAUAUUUGAUGUGACGGGGUACUGUACUCAAGCAGCAGCAGCAACACGGAGGAACUCAAGGGAAAAUCAAUUUUUUUUAAAGAAAAUUUAGAUAAGUCUGACAUUUAUUAGUGUAUAUUGUUUGGUAGUUUUAUUAGAUUUUUAGAUCCUAAGUUAUUUUUUACGGAUUUUUCAUGAAAUACCCCCGAAUUUUGGCGUAAUUCACCAAAUGCCCCUCGACUUUCAGUAAUUCACCAAAUGCCCCUCACAAAUGACUUAAUACCCAAAAUACUCUUACUAAUGAUGCGCCGUUAGUCCUCCGUUAACCUAAUUUUCAAAUUCACCAAAUACCCCUAUUUUAAUACUUAUUUCACCAAAUACCCUUAUUCAGAAACUUAAUUCACCAAAUACCAAUAACUUAAAAUUACUCAUUUUGAUGCUCAACGGCUAGUUUUUGUGUUUGAAAAUUAGCCGUUGCUUAUUGUUUGCUUAUAAAUACUCUUUUUCUGACUGUUUAUUGUAGUUUUCCUAUUAUUUUGUUAAUUUCAUAUCAUUUUUGUCAUGAGUUUUCUUUCAAAAUCAUCAUCCACACCCAAUGAGUCCACAUAUGUAAGAGUCCCAAAUAAAUUUUGUUAUCAUGGGAGAAACUUUGACAUCCGAAUAUCUGAUACAACACUCAAUCUGAAGCUCCGGUACAACACUAAAAUAGAAAACACUCCUAAAAACACCUCAAAACGUCGCAACUCUUCAAGAAAAUAGCUACUUCUUUUGUACCUUAUUCUUUAUGUGACCAAUUAAUUAUAUUUACCACGCAAUCGGAAGGUAUUCCUUUUUCAAUAUGGGAAAUAUCUUUAACAUAUGCAAACAGAUUAAAAAUAAAGCUCUUAUUAAUUUUAUUCUAACGCAUAUGUUCCAGCUACCUUGGCUUCUAUUGCUUCCAUGCCACAUAUUUAACGUUAACUCCCUUUUGUCUCCUGUCUCUACUGCCUCUAAACAUCUUUCUUCAAUCUCCUAACUUUCUCUCAACCUUACAGUCGAGGCAUAAAGGUUUUCCCACUUUUCUUUUGAGUUAGGUCCUAUUGACAUGGUCAGAUUUAUGGACAAAUGUCUAUUUUUGGAUUUGAGGGAAGAAGAAAAAAAAUGAAACUAAGGUAUGUUCCAAAGCUCAUGAACCAAGGAAAAAACAUGAAUCUUGGCACAAAGAUUUGCCUCCAAACUCAAGAUUUUCACAUCAUGAAUCCAAGUUGAAAUCGAGGUUGUGAUAAAAAUGUAUGUGUUAUUGAACUUGAUUUCUUAGUUUCUUUACCAUUCGGACAAUAAGAAAAUUAAGGUGUUAGCUUUAGAUUGAAUUACUUCAGCUUCACUUACAUAAGAUCCCUUUGAAAAUGGGGUUUUUUGGCCUUUUGCUCAGCUAAAGUGCAUUGUCUUUACUGGAUGAGGCCUGAACUUAUUGGAUCAUAAUUGAAACUUACUGAGUGUUGUAUCGGAGCCUCGGAUGGAAAUUUCCUCCCAUAAUAUUAGAAAUUGUUUGGGACUCUUACAUAUGUGGAUUCAUGGGUGUGGAUGAUGAUUUUGAAAGAAAACUCAUGACAAAAAUGAUAUGAAAUUAACAAAACAAUAGAAAAACUACAAUAAAUAGUCAGAAAAGGGGUUUUUAUAAGCAAACAAUAAGCAACGGCUAAUUUUCAAACAUAAAACUAGCCGCUGAGCAUCAAAAUGGGUAAUUUUAAGUUAUGUGUAUUUGGUGAAUUAAGUUUCAGAAUAGGGGUAUUAUAUGAAAUAAGUAAUAAAAUAGGGGUAUUUGGUGAAUUUAAAAAUUAGGCUAACAGAGGACUAACGGCGCGUCAUUAGUAAGGGUAUUUUGGGUAUUAAGUCAUUUGUGAGGGGCAUUUGGUGAAUUUCUGAAAGUCGAGGGGCAUUUGGUGAAUUACGCCAUAAUUCGGGGGUAUUUCAUGAAAAAUCCGUAUUUUUUAUAUGAUAUACAUUGUAUUCUCAAUUUUAUCAUAUUAAUAAUACUGCAAAAGUUUAGUUUAUGUUAA